This 492-nucleotide long non-coding RNA is filed under the name Elaeis guineensis (African oil palm). Its description in RNAcentral is "long non-coding RNA (EGUI_LNC022309)". Lineage: Eukaryota; Viridiplantae; Streptophyta; Magnoliopsida; Arecales; Arecaceae. The record is from RNAcentral.
AGAAACAUAUAUCCGUAUCAUGACAAAUCAUUAGUAAAGAUAAUAAAGUAGCUAUAACAAAAAAUUUUUCAAUUAAAUAUCUUUUUUCACCCUAUUUUAUUGUUUGGUCGUCAUUGGUCGAGAGAAAGGUGCAUAAAAUGCAUGAAUUUUAUAUGUUGGGCUCUUGGAGAUCGUGUGGGUUAUUUGUAAAGAAAUCAAAAGUUUCAAUUUUCCCUUCAAAUGAUGAUUCUAGUGUAACUAAUAGGGAUCUAGGUUAACAGACUUAACUUACGUUGGUCUGCCACCUCGGUUGUAGUAAUAUACCGCUAUAUGUAUUGUUUUUUGAUUUAGUGGAGUUGGAGGUAUCAUUCAUGAUGCCCAUGCUAAUUUGCUUAAAUGAACAUAAGCUCCUUCUCAUCAGGAGUCAUGCUCUCAAGAAAUUUUUGGAUUUUCUAGCUUCACUAAUUAUUUGUUAAUAGUGAUAGAUUUAGUAAAAUAUGCAUUUUCCUUACC